This 170-nucleotide ribosomal RNA is filed under the name uncultured rumen bacterium. Its description in RNAcentral is "partial 16S ribosomal RNA". It matches the Rfam family "Bacterial small subunit ribosomal RNA", at positions 340 to 524 of the family's 1533-position model. The record is from RNAcentral.
UACGGGAGGCAGCAGUUAGGAAUAUUGGGCAAUGGAGGGAACNUUGNNCCAGCAACGCCGCGUGAAGGAAGAAGGUUUUCGGAUUGUAAACUUCUGAUCUAGGGGAAAAAGAAAGUGAUGGUACCCUAGGAGAAAGCCACGGCUAACUACGUGCCAGCAGCCGCGGUAAU